GAUACAUUUUUCCGAGCGCCUACUGGUACUGACGUCAGCAGUGCCCUUGACCCUUACGAACUAAUGUUAAUUUUUGGCAAAUCCACGCCAACAUGGACGCAUUUCACCCUUUUUGAAUGGCAUUUAAGUGUCGUACUAUUAAUAGCAUUUAUUUGCGUGUGGGGUCGUUAUUCAUCGUUUAUACAAUCCAUUGGAAACAUUCAGCAAACAUUUUUCCAAUACGGCAAUAUUGAUAAUUUAUUGUUAUCGCUCGAAAGGGUUGAGUAAUAACAUCCAGGUUUUUUCCAUUUCCUAAUGACGAUUCUUAUUGAUAUUGUUUGAUGACUAUGUCAAUACAAUAUUGCGAGUUGAUGAAAGGUCAAGUUCAAGGACGGCUGAAAACUUUUAAGUUUUCCUUCCUAGCGUGACACAUGACGCCAAAUCCUAUAAGUCUAUUUUAUUAAAAUUUCAAUUUACGGGAUUUGCAUCUAAAGCGCGAGCAAGUGGAGCAGAUCCGCAAUGAAUUGCUAAUUAACUGCUUGAGACCCGAGCAGGGAGAAGUGACACUUGACUCAGUUUGCUUUCUACGCAUUAAUUUUCACUUUUAUCGGGAGAAGUUUUUUUUUGUUGCAGACUUACCGAUGAUGGCACCGACAGCAACACCACAGAGCGUGCCGAGCAGCAAGAGGUUCUCCGACAACCACUUGCGUACGCCCGUCAUCUCCUUCUUGUCGGAGCGUUCGGUGAACUCGAUCUUGACGGUGUUAUUGUCUUCGGGCAUUUUGGCAAACAGGUACU
Long non-coding RNA from Dalotia coriaria, 777 nucleotides. RefSeq lists it as uncharacterized. NCBI's taxonomy places the organism in Eukaryota, Metazoa, Arthropoda, Insecta, Coleoptera, Staphylinidae. The transcript is spliced from 2 exons. The record is from RefSeq and is a predicted model, not a curated record.